Biomphalaria pfeifferi is the source of this 386-nucleotide non-coding RNA. The record is from the annotation of a GenBank genome assembly. NCBI's taxonomy places the organism in Eukaryota, Metazoa, Mollusca, Gastropoda, Planorbidae.
UUUUUAUUUUUUUCAUUAUCACAAAAGGAAUGCUUGAAAUGAAGAAAACAGGAGACAAAAACCCCAUGAUUCAACUACUUCACCUGUUUUAUUCCCAAUAUUUUACAGACUAUUGUUUCUUCUUUUUUUUUUCAUGUAAGUAAACAUACCGACAAUACCAUAGAAAUAAUAUAACAGAGCAAUAUCUGUAUACCUCUUUUCAUAUCAACAAUAUAUUAAAUAUCAACAACUAAGUAGCAAUGAAGCUAAUGGAGAUUGUGAGCUGAUGACUUCAUUAUUAUUAAAUGUAAAUCUUUAAACAUACAAAACAUAUUAAGUCAUACAAAAAGGCUAACUAAGAAGAUGUACAAUGAAACAAUUUGUCAUAACUUAAUAAAAAAGACAAU